UAUCUCUGUAGAGUCUGCAUAUCAAUAAGCGGAGGAAAAGAAACUAACAAGGAUUCCCUUAGUAACGGCGAGUGAAGCGGGAAGAGCUCAAAUUUGAAAUCUUCAAGGUUUUACCUUGACGAAUUGUAGUUUAAAGAAGUGUUUUCUGUUAGAUGAGUAGCAAAAGCUCCUUGGAAUGGGACAUCAUAGAGGGUGAGAAUCCCGUAUUUGGUUAUUCAUUCUAGCUUUGUGAUACACUUUCAAAGAGUCGGAUUGUUUGGGAAUGCAGUCCAAAAUGGGUGGUAAAUUUCAUCUAAAGCUAAAUAUUGGCGAGAGACCGAUAGCGAACAAGUACCGUGAGGGAAAGAUGAAAAGAACUUUGAAAAGAGAGUUAAACAGUACGUGAAAUUGUCAAAAGGGAAGCGUUUGACACCAGUGUUGUUUUUCCGAAAAUCAAUUACGAAUGGCUUGAUUUUGUGUCGUAUUGACCUUAUCAGCUUUCUGCACUUUUUUCGAGUCUUUCUUAAUGCACUUUUCGGUUAACAAGUCAACAUCAAUUUCUUUUGUUGUAAAAGAGUAUUCGGAAGGUGGCUUUCUUUUCGGAGAAAGUGUUUAUAGCCCUAUACUUCUACAAUCGGAGAGAUUGAGGUCUGCAGCGUAGAUCCUUCGGGGUUAGAUACACUUGUGCUAAGUUGUAGCUUUUCAUAGACAACUUGUUGACUAUGUUUAGUCAUGCGGCUUACUCGCUUGUGCUAUUUUACCUACGCUUAGGAUGUUGACUGAUAUGUAGUCGUA
Molecule: ribosomal RNA, 774 nt
Filed under: uncultured Neocallimastigales
Lineage: Eukaryota; Fungi; Neocallimastigomycota; Neocallimastigomycetes; Neocallimastigales
Description: partial large subunit ribosomal RNA
Rfam family: Eukaryotic large subunit ribosomal RNA
Source: RNAcentral